AUACGUAGGGGGCGAGCGUUGUCCGGAAUGAUUGGGCGUAAAGGGCGCGUAGGCGGCCCGGUAAGUCUGGAGUGAAAGUCCUGUUUUUAAGAUGGGAAUUGCUUUGGAUACUGUCGGGCUUGAGUGCAGGAGAGGUAAGUGGAAUUCCCAGUGUAGCGGUGAAGUGCGUAGAGAUUGGGAGGAACACCAGUGGCGAAGGCGACUUACUGGACUGUAACUGACGCUGAGGCGCGAAAGUGUGGGGAGCAAACAGGAUUAGAUACCCUGGUAGUCCACGCUGUAAACGAUGAAUGCUAGGUGUAGCGGGUAUCGACCCCUGCUGUGCCGCAGUAAACACAAUAAGCAUUCCGCCUGGGGAGUACGGCCGCAAGGUUGAAACUCAAAUGAAUUGACGGGG
Molecule: ribosomal RNA, 397 nt
Filed under: uncultured bacterium
Lineage: Bacteria
Description: partial 16S ribosomal RNA
Rfam family: Bacterial small subunit ribosomal RNA
Source: RNAcentral